RNAcentral lists this ribosomal RNA (238 nucleotides) under uncultured bacterium. Its description in RNAcentral is "partial 16S ribosomal RNA". It matches the Rfam family "Bacterial small subunit ribosomal RNA", at positions 96 to 334 of the family's 1533-position model. The record is from RNAcentral.
CGGCGGACGGGUGAGUAACGCGUGGGUAACCUACCCUGUACACACGGAUAACAUACCGAAAGGUAUGCUAAUACGGGAUAAUAUAUUUGAGAGGCAUCUCUUGAAUAUCAAAGGUGAGCCAGUACAGGAUGGACCCGCGUCUGAUUAGCUAGUUGGUAAGGUAACGGCUUACCAAGGCGACGAUCAGUAGCCGACCUGAGAGGGUGAUCGGCCACAUUGGAACUGAGACACGGUCCAA